ACGAACGCUGGCGGUGUGCUUAACCCCUGCAAGUCGAACGGUAAGGCCCUUUCGGGGGUACACGAGUGGCGAACGGGUGAGUAACACGUGAGUAACCUGCCCUCAUCUCUGGUAUAACAUUCGGUAACGGUUGCUAAUACUGGAUCUGAGCUUGCAAGGCAUCUUGUGGUUUGGAAAGUUUUUUUUUGGUUGGGGAUGGACUCGCGGCCUAUCAGCUUGUUGGUGAGGUAGUGGCUCACAAAGGCUUCGACGGGUAGCCGGCCUGAGAGGGGGACCGGCCACAUUGGGACUGAGAUACGGCCCAAACUCCUACGGGAGGCAGCAAUGGGGAAUAUUGCACAAUGGACGGAAGUCUGAUGCAGCAACGCCGCGUGCGGGAUGACGGCCUUCGGGUUGUAAACCGCGUUAAAUUGUGACGAAGCUUUUUUGUGACGGUAGCAGUAGAAGAAGCACCGGCUAACUACGUG
RNAcentral lists this ribosomal RNA (467 nucleotides) under uncultured bacterium. RNAcentral's name for it is "partial 16S ribosomal RNA". It matches the Rfam family "Bacterial small subunit ribosomal RNA", at positions 29 to 507 of the family's 1533-position model. The record is from RNAcentral.